GAAGCCCGCCAGGCCGCCGCUGGUGCAAGUUGGGAAACCACGCACUGGAGGAACGUCCGGACUGCACAGGGCAGCGCAGCAGCUAACGGCUGUCCACCGUGAGGUGAGGAUCAGAGCAACAGAGACGAGCCGCUUGAGUGCGGGUGAAACGGGCAAUCUCUGCGCGCAGCAACACCAAGUAGGCCAGCGUUGACUUGACCCGAGGAGCUGGCGGGUAGGUGGCACCGAGCCGGGUGGGCGACCCCCGGCCCAGAUUGAUGGCGGUCACGCUCCGGGCAACCGGGGCGCACAGAAUCCGGCGUAUCGGCGGGCUUCACAC
Molecule: RNase P RNA, 319 nt
Filed under: Ottowia testudinis
Lineage: Bacteria; Pseudomonadati; Pseudomonadota; Betaproteobacteria; Burkholderiales; Comamonadaceae
Description: Bacterial RNase P class A
Rfam family: Bacterial RNase P class A
About the family: Ribonuclease P (RNase P) is a ubiquitous endoribonuclease, found in archaea, bacteria and eukarya as well as chloroplasts and mitochondria.
Source: Rfam by way of RNAcentral